RNAcentral lists this ribosomal RNA (468 nucleotides) under uncultured bacterium. Its description in RNAcentral is "partial 16S ribosomal RNA". The stretch from base 20 to 332 matches the Rfam family "Bacterial small subunit ribosomal RNA", at positions 47 to 358 of the family's 1533-position model. The record is from RNAcentral.
GAUGAACGCUGGCGGCGUGCUUAACACAUGCAAGUCGAACGGUGAAGGCGGAGCUUUCUCUGCUGGAUCAGUGGCGAACGGGUGAGUAACACGUGAGCAAUCUGCCCCUGACUCUGGGAUAAGCUCUGGAAACUGCGUCUAAUACUGGAUACGAGCUGCUACGGCAUCUUCAGCAGCUGGAAAUUACUUCGGUCAGGGAUGAGCUCGCGGCCUAUCAGCUUGUUGGUGAGGUAACGGCUCACCAAGGCUUCGACGGGUAGCCGGCCUGAGAGGGUGACCGGCCAAAAUGGGAACGAGGAAACGGCCAAGAUCCCUAGGGAAGGAGGAGGGGGGGAAAAUGGAAAAAGGGGGAAAGGCCUGAGGAGGAAAGGCGGGGGGGGGGAGAAGGGCCUCGGGGCGGAAAACUGUUUUAGCAGGGAAGGAAGGAAAGGGAAGGGAAAUGGAGAAAGAGCGACGGCUAAAUAAGUG